This 425-nucleotide ribosomal RNA is filed under the name uncultured bacterium. RNAcentral's name for it is "bacterial SSU rRNA". It matches the Rfam family "Bacterial small subunit ribosomal RNA", at positions 356 to 773 of the family's 1533-position model. The record is from RNAcentral.
AGGGAAUCUUCGGCAAUGGACGAAAGUCUGACCGAGCAACGCCGCGUGAGUGAAGAAGGUUUUCGGAUCGUAAAACUCUGUUGUUAGAGAAGAACAAGUGGGAGAGUAACUGUUCCCACCUUGACGGUAUCUAACCAGAAAGCCACGGCUAACUACGUGCCAGCAGCCGCGGUAAUACGUAGGUGGCAAGCGUUGUCCGGAUUUAUUGGGCGUAAAGCGAGCGCAGGCGGUUUCUUAAGUCUGAUGUGAAAGCCCUCGGCUCAACCGAGGAAGGUCAUUGGAAACUGGGGAACUUGAAUGCAGAAGAGGAGAGUGGAAUUCCAUGUGUAGCGGUGAAAUGCGUAGAUAUAUGGAGGAACACCAGUGGCGAAGGCGACUCUCUGGUCUGUAAUUGACGCUGAGGCUCGAAAGCGUGGGGAGCAAAC